This 495-nucleotide ribosomal RNA is filed under the name uncultured bacterium. RNAcentral's name for it is "partial 16S ribosomal RNA". It matches the Rfam family "Bacterial small subunit ribosomal RNA", at positions 28 to 507 of the family's 1533-position model. The record is from RNAcentral.
GACGAACGCUGGCGGCGUGCCUAAUACAUGCAAGUAGAACGCUGAAGGAGGAGCUUGCUUCUCUGGAUGAGUUGCGAACGGGUGAGUAACGCGUAGGUAACCUGCCUGGUAGCGGGGGAUAACUAUUGGAAACGAUAGCUAAUACCGCAUAAGAGUAGAUGUCGCAUGACAUUUGCUUAAAAGGUGCAAUUGCAUCACUACCAGAUGGACCUGCGUUGUAUUAGCUAGUUGGUGAGGUAACGGCUCACCAAGGCAACGAUACAUAGCCGACCUGAGAGGGUGAUCGGCCACACUGGGACUGAGACACGGCCCAGACUCCUACGGGAGGCAGCAGUAGGGAAUCUUCGGCAAUGGACGGAAGUCUGACCGAGCAACGCCGCGGGAGUGAAGAAGGGUGUCGGAUCGUAAAGCUCUGUUGUAAGAGAAGAACGAGUGUGAGAGUGGAAAGUUCACACUGUGACGGUAUCUUACCAGAAAGGGACGGCUAACUACGUG